AAGCUUAACAGAGAAGAUCACCGGAGAUUCCCGCCACUGAACGGGAAAAGGUAAGUACCGUUGUCACCAGUGUCACCUGCACUAUCUGUCAGUACCGCCACUUUUGUGUAGGUGACACUGGUGACAUAUUUCCAUUAAAAACAAUAAAAGAAAAAGAAGGUUAAUAAAAUAAUUAAAAAAGAAAAAAAACUUCUACAAAAAUAUCCCUAAAAAAACAUAUUUGGUAUGAAAUAUAAAAUUAAGAAAAUAGAAAAAAUAUAUAAAAAUUCCCCCAAAAACUAUAUAACCCCAUACAAAUCCCUCACAAUGCCAUAACCAUGCACUGCCUGUCAGAAUAAUGCUAAGAGGAAUAAUACACUGCACCACAAUAGUAGUGCAGUGUUUUAUAGAAAUAAUCAGAUCUUUGGUGAAAGGUUGCCCUCUAAUGGGAAUAUGGGUGAAAAAAACAACCCAUAAAAUAAAAGUGUAAUAACAUGAUUUAUUGACCCCCCCCCUCCCCCACCAACAAAAAAAGAAAAAGAAAACAGUAGAAAGGCAGAAAUGCUUUUUAAAAAAGAAAUACACAAUAAUAAUUUAUAAAAUUUUCUGCCCCCUCCCCCAAAGAAAACAUAUAUUACCCUUAAAAUGUAUGAAUAAAUAAAUGAAAAUUAAGACAUAACCCAAACAUUACAAAAACAAACCCUCCAAAAACCUGUCAAUAGUCUGCGUCAACAUCAUCCUGGGAUGAUGGGAAGAGUAGUACACUGCACUACUAUAGAAAUAAAAAUCCCUACCAUCUAAAUCCCAAUGUGUUCCAUUUUUUUUUUUGUUCCUUUUUCUUAUGCGGUUUCUUAAUCCCUGAGAUAAGUAGUUCUGGCCCUAGAGUGUUAUAUAUAUUAGCGUCUGUAGCAUGUAUCAGGAACAUGUUAUCAUACCUGUGUCUUUUUACAGGUGACUGAUGUCCGGUGAGAAGGUGAAAGUGACCUAUACCCCCGUCAACUGCAAGAAAGGAACCACAGGACAGGUAAUUAAUAUUUAUAUUAAUUACUGAUAACAAUCAGGCUAGAUGUAAUAUCUAGACCUGCAGAGAUGUCAUAGUCUCCACCUUAUACAUGAACAUAUAUGUGUUGUUAAUAAGCAUAUCGUCUAUGGACAGCUUGUUAUAUAACACAACCAUGUCUCAGGUACAGAGAAUAGGAACAUUUAUGAUCCUUAAUAUCUGUUUUUUAUUUGUAGGAAUUCCUUUUUCAAUAUUUAAUAGAAUAGACCCAACUUACCCCAAGGUUUACAAGUUUCCUUUAGACAAACUGACUGCAGAUUUAGAACAUAACUGUAAUGUAAAGAAAAAUCAAUAAUUUGUUUUUGCUACAAAUAUAUAAUUAUAAAAAUAAUGAGAAUUAAAAAACUAUAUAUUAAAAGACUAUAGCCAUAAUAAUACAUAGCCUGUUGAAAUAAUCAUGAAGCGCAUAAUACACUGCACUUUAAUACUAGUGCAGUGUAUUAUAUGAGCGAUCUUAAGAUCGCUGUUAAAAGUCCCCUUUGUAAAAAAAAACGUAAAGGCUAGCUAGGAAUUUUCAUCCGGGAUAACUAUUGCCGGAGGUUCCAAGCGUACAUUACCGUCAUCACAGAUGGCAAUGUAUUCUGCCCAGAUCCUAUGUAAAUGAAGUUAAAAAUAAACAAUUUAUAAAAUAAUUCACCCCACCCCAACCCCUACAAAAAAAUUAAUGUUUAUAUAAAAAAGAAUUAAAAAAAAAUAACCCAUUUCUCCCCUCAUAUAAGCUAUAAUUAAAAAUCGGCUGUCAACAUAAUGCUGACAGCGAUAAUACACUGCACUAUAACACUAUUGCAAUGUAUUAUAUGGGUGAUCACAAGAUCACUGGGGAAAGGCCUCUCAUCGAAUUUGUUAAAAAAAAAAGACCAAAAAAUAAAAAAUAAAGAAAAAAAAGUUAAAAAAAAUAUUCAAACAGAACACCCUAAAAAAAAAAUAUUAAAAAAAUAAAAAAUAAUUUUAAACCAAAAACCCGAAAUAAAACCCCUGACAAUACUGUAACCAUACAUUAUCUUUUAGAAUAAUGACAAGAGGCCUAAGACACUAGUGCAGUGUAUUAUUACAUAGCUAUCGAAAGAUUGCUUCUCAAAGUCCCUUGAUGGGAAUAGUUAAAGGAAAUUUGUUACCAGUGUCACCUGCACUAACCUGUCGGUACCAACAGAUAGUGCAGGUGACACUAAUGACAAAGGUCCUUGCCUUGUCCCGUUCCGUGGAGGGGAUCUCCGGUAAUCUUCUCUGUUAAGCUUCAGCUCUAGGCCCGGCUUGGGGCACGAGUGGAGCUUAGGAAUGUCACUGCUGCUACGAGUCCAGCAGAGAGCAGCAGCGGCUAGGGGCAUUGGCAGAGCUUAGUGACAUCACCGCUGCUGCUCCCUGCUUGGUCCCGCUGCUAAAGAACAGCAGUGGUGAUGUCCCUAUGCUCCGCCCAUGCACCAAGCUGGCCAGAGCUGAAGCUUAACAGAGAAGAUCACCGGAGAUUCCCGCAACUGAACGGGAAAAGGUAAGUACCGUUGUCACCAGUGUCACCUGCACUAUCUGUCAGUACCGCCACUUUUGUGUAGGUGACACUGGUGACAUAUUUCCAUUAAAAACAAUAAAAGAAAAAGAAGGUUAAUAAAAUAAUUAAAAAAGAAAAAAAACUUCUACAAAUAUAUCCCUAAAAAAACAUAUUUGGUAUGAAAUAUAAAAUUAAGAAAAUAGAAAAAAUAUAUAAAAAUUCCCCCAAAAACUAUAUAACCCCAUACAAAUCCCUCACAAUGCCAUAACCAUACACUGCCUGUCAGAAUACUGCUAAGAGGAAUAAUACACUGCACCACAAUAGUAGUGCAGUGUUUUAUAGAAAUAAUCAGAUCUUUGGUGAAAGGUUGCCCUCUAAUGGGAAUAUGGGUGAAAAAAACAACCCAUAAAAUAAAAGUGUAAUAACAUGAUUUAUUGACCCCCCCCCUCCCCCACCAACAAAAAAAGACAAAGAAAACAGUAGAAAGGCAGAAAUGCUUUUGAAAAAAGAAAUACACAAUAAUAAUUUAUAAAAUUUUCUGCCCCCUCCCUCAAAGAAAACAUAUAUUACCCUUAAAAUGUAUGAAUAAAUAAAUGAAAAUUAAGACAUAACCCAAACAUUACAAAAACAAACCCUCCAAAAACCUGUCAAUAGUCUGCGUCAACAUCAUCCUGGGAUGAUGGGAGGAGUAGUACACUGCACUACUAUAGAAAUAACAAUCCCUAUCAUCUAAAUCCCAAUGUGUUCCAAUUUUUUUUGUUCCUUUUUCUUAUGCGGUUUCAUAAUCCCUGAGAUAAGUAGUUCUGGCCCUAGAGUGUUAUAUAUAUUAGCGUCUGUAGCAUGUAUCAGGAACAUGUUAUCAUACCUGUGUCUUUUUACAGGUGACUGAUGUCCGGUGAGAAGUUGAAAGUGACCUAUACCCCCGUCAACUGCAAGAAAGGAACCACAGGACAGGUGACUGAUGUCCGGUGAGAAGGUGAAAGUGACCUAUACCCCCGUCAACUGCAAGAAAGGAACCACAGGACAGGUAAUUAAUAUUUAUAUUAAUUACUGAUAACAAUCAGGCUAGAUGUAAUAUCUAGACCUGUAGAGAUGUCAUAGUCUCCACCUUAUACAUGAACAUAUAUGUGUUGUUAAUAAGCAUAUCGUCUAUGGACAGCUUCUUAUAUAACACAACCAUGUCUCAGGUACAGAGAAUAGGAACAUUUAUGAUCCUUAAUAUCUGUUUUUUAUUUGUAGGAAUUCCUUUAUCAAUAUUUAAUAGAAUAGACCCAACUUACCCCAAGGUUUACAAGUUUCCUUUAGACAAACUGACUGCAGAUUUAGAACAUAACUGUAAUGUAAAGAAAAAUCUAUAAUUUGUUUUUGCUACAAAUAUAUAAUUAUAAAAAUAAUGAGAAUUAAAAAACUAUAUAUUAAAAGACUAUAGCCAUAAUAAUACAUAGCCUGUUGAAAUAAUCAUGAAGCGCAUAAUACACUGCACUUUAAUACUAGUGCAGUGUAUUAUAUGAGCGAUCUUAAGAUCGCUGUUAAAAGUCCCCUUUGUAAAAAAAACAUGUAAAGGCUAGCUAGGAAUUUUCAUCCGGAAUAACUAUUGCCGGAGGUUCCAAGCGUACAUUACCGUCAUCACAGAUGGCAAUGUAUUCUGCCCAGAUCCUAUGUAAAUGAAGUUAAAAAUAAACAAUUUAUAAAAUAAUUCACCCCACCCCAACCCCUACAAAAAAAUUAAUGUUUAUAUAAAAAAGAAUUAAAAAAAGAUAACCCAUUUCUCCCCUCACAUAAACUAUAAUUAAAAAUCGGCUGUCAACAUAAUGCUGACAGCGAUAAUACACUGCACUAUAACACUAUUGCAAUGUAUUAUAUGGGUGAUCACAAGAUCACUGGGGAAAGGCCUCUCAUCGAAUUUGUUAAAAAAAAGACCAAAAAAUAAAAAAUAAAGAAAAAAAAGUUAAAAAAAAUAUUCAAACAGAACACCCUAAAAAAAAACAUAUUAAAAAAAGAAAAAAUAAUUUUAAACCAAAAACCCAAAAUAAAACCCCUGACAAUACUGUAACCAUACAUUGUCUUUUAGAAUAAUGACAAGAGGCCUAAGACACUAGUGCAGUGUAUUAUUACAUAGCUAUCGAAAGAUUGCUGCUCAAAGUCCCUUGAUGGGAAUAGUUAAAGGAAAUUUGUCACCAGUGUCACCUGCACUAACCUGUCGGUACCAACAGAUAGUGCAGGUGACACUAAUGACAACGGUCCUUGCCUUGUCCCGUUCCGUGGAGGGGAUCUCCGGUAAUCUUCUCUGUUAAGCUUCAGCUCUAGGCCCGGCUUGGGGCACGAGUGGAGCUUAGGAAUGUCACUGCUGCUACGAGUCCAGCAGAGAGCAGCAGCGGCUAGGGGCAUUGGCAGAGCUUAGUGACAUCACCGCUGCUGCUCCCUGCUUGGUCCCGCUGCUAAAGAACAGCAGUGGUGAUGUCCCUAUGCUCCGUCCAUGCACCAAGCUGGCCAGAGCUGAAGCUUAACAGAGAAGAUCACCGGAGAUUCCCGCGACUGAACGGGAAAAGGUAAGUACCGUUGUCACCAGUGUCACCUGCACUAUCUGUCAGUACCACCACUUUUGUGUAGGUGACACUGGUGACAUAUUUCCAUUAAAAACAAUAAAAGAAAAAGAAGGUUAAUAAAAUAAUUAAAAAAGAAAAAAAACUUCUACAAAAAUAUCCCUAAAAAAACAUAUUUGGUAUAAAAUAUAAAAUUAAGAAAAUAGAAAAAAUAUAUAAAAAUUCCCCCAAAAACUAUAUAACCCCAUACAAAUCCCUCACAAUGCCAUAACCAUGCACUGCCUGUCAGAAUAAUGCUAAGAGGAAUAAUACACUGCACCACAAUAGUAGUGCAGUGUUUUAUAGAAAUAAUCAGAUCUUUGGUGAAAGGUUGCCCUCUAAUGGGAAUAUGGGUGAAAAAAACAACCCAUAAAAUAAAAGUGUAAUAACAUGAUUUAUUGACC
Long non-coding RNA from Hyla sarda, 5508 nucleotides. RefSeq lists it as uncharacterized. Lineage: Eukaryota; Metazoa; Chordata; Amphibia; Anura; Hylidae. The transcript has 2 exons. The record is from RefSeq and is a predicted model, not a curated record.